ACUGCGGUAGCCCAGUUGGUAGUGGCGUCGGCAGUACAGAGGUCGCAGGUUCAAAACCUGCCUGCAGUG
This is a non-coding RNA of Phthorimaea operculella (potato tuberworm), 69 nucleotides long. The record is from the annotation of a GenBank genome assembly. NCBI's taxonomy places the organism in Eukaryota, Metazoa, Arthropoda, Insecta, Lepidoptera, Gelechiidae.